RNAcentral lists this ribosomal RNA (253 nucleotides) under uncultured bacterium. RNAcentral describes it as "partial 16S ribosomal RNA". It matches the Rfam family "Bacterial small subunit ribosomal RNA", at positions 524 to 776 of the family's 1533-position model. The record is from RNAcentral.
UACGUAGGGGGCAAGCGUUGUCCGGAUUUAUUGGGCGUAAAGAGCGUGUAGGCGGCCAGGUAGGUCCGUUGUGAAAACUCGAGGCUCAACCUCGAGACGUCGGCGGAAACCCUCUGGCUAGAGUCCGGAAGAGGAGAGUGGAAUUCCUGGUGUAGCGGUGAAAUGCGCAGAUAUCAGGAGGAACACCGGUGGCGAAGGCGGUUCUCUGGGCAUUACCUGACGCUGAGGAGCGAAAGCAUGGGGAGCGAACAGG